Molecule: ribosomal RNA, 912 nt
Filed under: uncultured bacterium
Lineage: Bacteria
Description: bacterial SSU rRNA
Rfam family: Bacterial small subunit ribosomal RNA
Source: RNAcentral
GGCUCAGAACGAACGCUGGCGGCGUGCCUAACACAUGCAAGUCGAGCGCGAACGUCACCUUCGGGUGGCCAGUAGAGCGGCGCACGGGUGAGUAACACGUGGGUAAUCUACCUUUGGGUUCGGAACAACCUGGGGAAACUCGGGCUAAUGCCGGAUACGACCACGGAGCACAAGCUUCGUGGGGAAAGCGGGGGAUCUCUUCGGAGACCUCGCACCCUUAGAUGAGCCCGCGGCCCAUCAGCUAGUUGGCGGGGUAACGGCCCACCAAGGCUAAGACGGGUAGCUGGUCUGAGAGGAUGAUCAGCCACACUGGAACUGAGAAACGGUCCAGACUCCUACGGGAGGCAGCAGUGGGGAAUAUUGGACAAUGGGCGCAAGCCUGAUCCAGCAACGCCGCGUGAGUGAUGAAGGUCUUCGGAUCGUAAAGCUCUGUCGGUGGGAACGAUGCAUUCACCGGAUAACACCCGGUGGAUCUGACGGUACCUGCAAAGGAAGCACCGGCUAACUCUGUGCCAGCAGCCGCGGUAAGACAGAGGGUGCUAGCGUUGUUCGGAAUUAUUGGGCGUAAAGGGCGCGUAGGCGGCUUUGUAAGUCGAAUGUGAAAGCCCACGGCUCAACCGUGGAAGUGCAUUCGAAACUGCAUAGCUUGAGUGCCGGAGAGGGUGGUGGAAUUCCUGGUGUAGAGGUGAAAUUCGUAGAUAUCAGGAGGAACACCCGUGGCGAAGGCGACCACCUGGACGGACACUGACGCUGAGGCGCGAAAGCGUGGGGAGCAAACAGGAUUAGAUACCCUGGUAGUCCACGCUGUAAACGAUGGGUACUAGGUGUUGCGGGUAUUGACCCCUGCAGUGCCGGCGCUAACGCAAUAAGUACCCCGCCUGGGGAGUACGGCCGCAAGGCUAAAACUCAAAG